AUUGAACGCUGGCGGCAGGCCUAACACAUGCAAGUCGAGCGGUAGCACAGAGAGCUUGCUCUCGGGUGACGAGCGGCGGACGGGUGAGUAAUGUCUGGGAAACUGCCUGAUGGAGGGGGAUAACUACUGGAAACGGUAGCUAAUACCGCAUAACGUCGCAAGACCAAAGUGGGGGACCUUCGGGCCUCAUGCCAUCAGAUGUGCCCAGAUGGGAUUAGCUAGUAGGUGGGGUAACGGCUCACCUAGGCGACGAUCCCUAGCUGGUCUGAGAGGAUGACCAGCCACACUGGAACUGAGACACGGUCCAGACUCCUACGGGAGGCAGCAGUGGGGAAUAUUGCACAAUGGGCGCAAGCCUGAUGCAGCCAUGCCGCGUGUGUGAAGAAGGCCUUCGGGUUGUAAAGCACUUUCAGCGGGGAGGAAGGCGAUAAGGUUAAUAACCUUGUCGAUUGACGUUACCCGCAGAAGAAGCACCGGCUAACUCCGUGCCAGCAGCCGCGGUAAUACGGAGGGUGCAAGCGUUAAUCGGAAUUACUGGGCGUAAAGCGCACGCAGGCGGUCUGUCAAGUCGGAUGUGAAAUCCCCGGGCUCAACCUGGGAACUGCAUUCGAAACUGGCAGGCUAGAGUCUUGUAGAGGGGGGUAGAAUUCCAGGUGUAGCGGUGAAAUGCGUAGAGAUCUGGAGGAAUACCGGUGGCGAAGGCGGCCCCCUGGACAAAGACUGACGCUCAGGUGCGAAAGCGUGGGGAGCAAACAGGAUUAGAUACCCUGGUAGUCCACGCCGUAAACGAUGUCGAUUUGGAGGUUGUGCCCUUGAGGCGUGGCUUCCGGAGCUAACGCGUUAAAUCGACCGCCUGGGGAGUACGGCCGCAAGGUUAAAACUCAAAUGAAUUGACGGGGGCCCGCACAAGCGGUGGAGCAUGUGGUUUAAUUCGAUGCAACGCGAAGAACCUUACCUGGUCUUGACAUCCACAGAACUUUCCAGAGAUGGAUUGGUGCCUUCGGGAACUGUGAGACAGGUGCUGCAUGGCUGUCGUCAGCUCGUGUUGUGAAAUGUUGGGUUAAGUCCCGCAACGAGCGCAACCCUUAUCCUUUGUUGCCAGCGGUCCGGCCGGGAACUCAAAGGAGACUGCCAGUGAUAAACUGGAGGAAGGUGGGGAUGACGUCAAGUCAUCAUGGCCCUUACGACCAGGGCUACACACGUGCUACAAUGGCAUAUACAAAGAGAAGCGACCUCGCGAGAGCAAGCGGACCUCAUAAAGUAUGUCGUAGUCCGGAUUGGAGUCUGCAACUCGACUCCAUGAAGUCGGAAUCGCUAGUAAUCGUAGAUCAGAAUGCUACGGUGAAUACGUUCCCGGGCCUUGUACACACCGCCCGUCACACCAUGGGAGUGGGUUGCAAAAGAAGUAGGUAGCUUAACCUUCGGGAGGGCGCUUACCACUUUGUGAUUCAUGACUGGGGUGA
RNAcentral lists this ribosomal RNA (1463 nucleotides) under uncultured Klebsiella sp. RNAcentral's name for it is "bacterial SSU rRNA". It matches the Rfam family "Bacterial small subunit ribosomal RNA". The record is from RNAcentral. Lineage: Bacteria; Pseudomonadati; Pseudomonadota; Gammaproteobacteria; Enterobacterales; Enterobacteriaceae.